CCUACGGGAGGCAGCAGUGGGGAAUAUUGCACAAUGGGGGAAACCCUGAUGCAGCGACGCCGCGUGAGUGAAGAAGUAUUUCGGUACGUAAAGCUCUAUCAGCAGGGAAGAAACUGACGGUACCUGACUAAGAAUCCCCGGCUAACUACGUGCCAGCAGCAGCGGUAAUACGUAGGGGGCAAGCGUUAUCCGGAUUUACUGGGUGUAAAGGGAGCGUAGACGGCAGCGCAAGUCUGGAGUGAAAUCCCAUGGCUUAACCAUGGAACUGCUUUGGAAACUGUGCAGCUAGAGUGCAGGAGAGGUAAGCGGAAUUCCGAGUGUAGCGGUGAAAUGCGUAGAUAUUAGGAGGAACACCAGUGGCGAAGGCGGCUUACUGGACUGUAACUGACGUUGAGGCGCGAAAGCGUGGGGAGCAAACAGGAUUAGAUACCCGAGUAGUC
RNAcentral lists this ribosomal RNA (440 nucleotides) under uncultured bacterium. Its description in RNAcentral is "partial 16S ribosomal RNA". It matches the Rfam family "Bacterial small subunit ribosomal RNA", at positions 338 to 795 of the family's 1533-position model. The record is from RNAcentral.